RNAcentral lists this non-coding RNA (66 nucleotides) under Chromobacterium amazonense. RNAcentral's name for it is "Fluoride sequence". It matches the Rfam family "Fluoride riboswitch aptamer (crcB RNA motif)". Lineage: Bacteria; Pseudomonadati; Pseudomonadota; Betaproteobacteria; Neisseriales; Chromobacteriaceae. The record is from RNAcentral.
AUCUGAUGCGGAGAUGGCAUUCCUCCCGUAACCGCCUUUGCCAAGGCUGAUGAUGCCUACAGUAUU